UACGUAGGGUGCGAGCGUUGUCCGGAAUUAUUGGGCGUAAAGGGCUCGUAGGCGGUCUGUUGCGUCGGGAGUGAAAACUCAGGGCUUAACCCUGAGCCUGCUUCCGAUACGGGCAGACUAGAGGUAUGCAGGGGAGAACGGAAUUCCUGGUGUAGCGGUGAAAUGCGCAGAUAUCAGGAGGAACACCGGUGGCGAAGGCGGUUCUCUGGGCAUUACCUGACGCUGAGGCGCGAAAGCGUGGGGAGCAAACGGG
This 253-nucleotide ribosomal RNA is filed under the name uncultured bacterium. Its description in RNAcentral is "partial 16S ribosomal RNA". It matches the Rfam family "Bacterial small subunit ribosomal RNA", at positions 524 to 776 of the family's 1533-position model. The record is from RNAcentral.